GACGAACGCUGGCGGCGUGCUUAACACAUGCAAGUCGAACGGAAAGGCCCUGCUUUUGUGGGGUGCUCGAGUGGCGAACGGGUGAGUAACACGUGAGUAACCUGCCCUUGACUUUGGGAUAACUUCAGGAAACUGGGGCUAAUACCGGAUAGGAGCUCCUGCUGCAUGGUGGGGGUUGGAAAGUUUCGGCGGUUGGGGAUGGACUCGCGGCUUAUCAGCUUGUUGGUGGGGUAGUGGCUUACCAAGGCUUUGACGGGUAGCCGGCCUGAGAGGGUGACCGGCCACAUUGGGACUGAGAUACGGCCCAGACUCCUACGGGAGGCAGCAGUGGGGAAUAUUGCACAAUGGGCGGAAGCCUGAUGCAGCAACGCCGCGUGCGGGAUGACGGCCUUCGGGUUGUAAACCGCUUUCGCCUGUGACGAAGCGUGAGUGACGGUAAUGGGUAAAGAAGCACCGGCUAACUACGUGCCAGCAGCCGCGGUGAUACGUAGGGUGCGAGCGUUGUCCGGAUUUAUUGGGCGUAAAGGGCUCGUAGGUGGUUGAUCGCGUCGGAAGUGUAAUCUUGGGGCUUAACCCUGAGCGUGCUUUCGAUACGGGUUGACUUGAGGAAGAUAGGGGAGAAUGGAAUUCCUGGUGGAGCGGUGGAAUGCGCAGAUAUCCGGAGGAACACCAGUGGCGAAGGCGGUUCUCUGGGCCUUUCCUGACGUUGAGGAGCGAAAGCGUGGGGAGCGAACAGGCUUAGAUACCCUGGUAGUCCACGCUGUAAACGGUGGGUACUAGGUGUGGGGUCCAUUCCACGGGUUCCGUGCCGUAGCUAACGCUUUAAGUACCCCGCCUGGGGAGUACGGCCGCAAGGCUAAAACUCAAAGGAAUUGACGGGGCCCCGCACAAGCGGCGGAGCAUGCGGAUUAAUUCGAUGCAACGCGUAGAACCUUACCUGGGUUUGACAUGGAUCGGGAGUGCUCAGAGAUGGGUGUGCCUCUUUUGGGGUCGGUUCACAGGUGGUGCAUGCCUGUCGUCAGCUCGUGUCGUGAGAUGUUGGGUUAAGUCCCGCAACGAGCGCAACCCUUGUUCACUGUUGCCAGCACGUUAUGGUGGGGACUCAGUGGAGACCGCCGGGGUCAACUCGGAGGAAGGUGGGGAUGACGUCAAGUCAUCAUGCCCCUUAUGUCCAGGGCUUCACGCAUGCUACAAUGGCUGGUACAGAGAGUGGCGAGCCUGUGAGGGUGAGCGAAUCUCGGAAAGCCGGUCUCAGUUCGGAUUGGGGUCUGCAACUCGACCUCAUGAAGUCGGAGUCGCUAGUAAUCGCAGAUCAGCAACGCUGCGGUGAAUACGUUCCCGGG
Molecule: ribosomal RNA, 1343 nt
Filed under: uncultured bacterium
Lineage: Bacteria
Description: 16S ribosomal RNA
Rfam family: Bacterial small subunit ribosomal RNA
Source: RNAcentral